RNAcentral lists this ribosomal RNA (459 nucleotides) under uncultured bacterium. RNAcentral's name for it is "partial 16S ribosomal RNA". It matches the Rfam family "Bacterial small subunit ribosomal RNA", at positions 338 to 795 of the family's 1533-position model. The record is from RNAcentral.
CCUACGGGCGGCAGCAGUGAGGAAUAUUGGUCAAUGGUCGGGAGACUGAACCAGCCAAGCCGCGUGAGGGAUGAAGGUACAGAGUAUCGUAAACCUCUUUUGUCAGGGAACAAAGGCGGGGACGUGUCCCCGGAUGAGUGUACCUGAAGAAAAAGCAUCGACUAACUCCGUGCCAGCAGCCGCGGUAAUACGGAGGAUGCGAGCGUUAUCCGGAUUUAUUGGGUUUAAAGGGUGCGCAGGCGGUCUGUUAAGUCAGCGGUCAAAGCCCGGGGCUCAACCCCGGCCCGCCGUUGAAACUGGCAGUCGCGAGUUGGAGAGAAGUAUGCGGAAUGCGCGGUGUAGCGGUGAAAUGCAUAGAUAUCGCGCAGAACUCCGAUUGCGAAGGCAGCAUGCCGGCUCCACACUGACGCUGAGGCACGAAAGCGUGGGUAUCGAACAGGAUUAGAUACCCUUGUAGUC